GUCGAACGAAGCACUCUAUUUGAUUUUCUUCGGAGAUGAAGAUUUUGUGACUGAGUGGCGGACGGGUGAGUAACGCGUGGGUAACCUGCCUCAUACAGGGGGAUAACAGUUGGAAACGACUGCUAAUACCGCAUAAGCGCACAGGAUUGCAUGAUCCGGUGUGAAAAACUCCGGUGGUAUGAGAUGGACCCGCGUCUGAUUAGCCAGUUGGCAGGGUAACGGCCUACCAAAGCGACGAUCAGUAGCCGACCUGAGAGGGUGACCGGCCACAUUGGGACUGAGACACGGCCCAAACUCCUACGGGAGGCAGCAGUGGGGAAUAUUGCACAAUGGGGGAAACCCUGAUGCAGCGACGCCGCGUGAGCGAAGAAGUAUUUCGGUAUGUAAAGCUCUAUCAGCAGGGAAGAAGAAUGACGGUACCUGACUAAGAAGCACCGGCUAAAUACGUGCCAGCAGCCGCGGUAAUACGUAUGGUGCAAGCGUUAUCCGGAUUUACUGGGUGUAAAGGGAGCGCAGGCGGUGCGGCAAGUCUGAUGUGAAAGCCCGGGGCUCAACCCCGGUACUGCAUUGGAAACUGUCGUACUAGAGUGUCGGAGGGGUAAGUGGAAUUCCUAGUGUAGCGGUGAAAUGCGUAGAUAUUAGGAGGAACACCAGUGGCGAAGGCGGCUUACUGGACGAUAACUGACGCUGAGGCUCGAAAGCGUGGGGAGCAAACAGGAUUAGAUACCCUGGUAGUCCACGCCGUAAACGAUGAUUACUAGGUGUGGGGGGACUGA
RNAcentral lists this ribosomal RNA (776 nucleotides) under uncultured bacterium. Its description in RNAcentral is "bacterial SSU rRNA". It matches the Rfam family "Bacterial small subunit ribosomal RNA", at positions 61 to 834 of the family's 1533-position model. The record is from RNAcentral.